AUACGUAGGGGGCGAGCGUUGUCCGGAAUGAUUGGGCGUAAAGGGCGCGUAGGCGGCGCGGUAAGUCUGGAGUGAAAGUCCUGCUUUCAAGGUGGGAAUUGCUUUGGAUACUGCCGCGCUUGAGUGCAGGAGAGGUUAUCGGAAUUCCCGGUGUAGCGGUGAAAUGCGUAGAGAUCGGGAGGAACACCAGUGGCGAAGGCGGGUAACUGGACUGCAACUGACGCUGAGGCGCGAAAGUGUGGGGAGCAAACAGGAUUAGAUGCCCUGGUAGUCCACACUGUAAACGAUGAAUGCUAGGUGUAAGAGGUAUCGACCCCUUUUGUGCCGGAGUCAACACAAUAAGCAUUCCGCCUGGGGAGUACGUCCGCAAGGUUGAAACUCAAAGGAAUUGACGGGG
Molecule: ribosomal RNA, 397 nt
Filed under: uncultured bacterium
Lineage: Bacteria
Description: partial 16S ribosomal RNA
Rfam family: Bacterial small subunit ribosomal RNA
Source: RNAcentral